This 491-nucleotide ribosomal RNA is filed under the name uncultured bacterium. RNAcentral's name for it is "bacterial SSU rRNA". It matches the Rfam family "Bacterial small subunit ribosomal RNA", at positions 28 to 511 of the family's 1533-position model. The record is from RNAcentral.
GAUGAACGCUAGCGAUAGGCCUAACACAUGCAAGUCGAGGGGCAUCACAUGAAGUAGCAAUACGGAUGGUGGCGACCGGCGCACGGGUGAGUAACACGUAUGCAACCUGCCUUCAACAAGGGGAUAACCCGUUGAAAGACGGACUAAUACCCUAUAACACAGGGGUCCCGCAUGGGAAUAUUUGUUAAAGGACAACCGGUUGAAGAUGGGCAUGCGUUCCAUUAGCUAGUUGGCGGGGUAACGGCCCACCAAGGCAACGAUGGAUAGGGGAACUGAGAGGUUUAUCCCCCACACUGGUACUGAGACACGGACCAGACUCCUACGGGAGGCAGCAGUGAGGAAUAUUGGUCAAUGGACGCAAGUCUGAACCAGCCACGUCGCGUGAAGGAAGACGGCCCUACGGGUUAAACUUCUUUUAACGGGAAUAAAGUGCCCCACGCGUGGGGUUUUGCAUGUACCGUAUGAAUAAGGAUCGGCUAACUCCGUGCCAG